Strongylocentrotus purpuratus (purple sea urchin) is the source of this 863-nucleotide long non-coding RNA. RefSeq lists it as uncharacterized. The record is from RefSeq and is a predicted model, not a curated record. The transcript has 3 exons. Lineage: Eukaryota; Metazoa; Echinodermata; Echinoidea; Camarodonta; Strongylocentrotidae.
GCCACAUUACAUUUGCAUAAUACGCUGACCUCGACCGACCGACCGAUCGCACCCCGGAGUAAAGAUAGACUUUCUUAUCUGGACUUGACACAACCAGAAUUAUGAGUUUCGGAGCGUAGCGGCAGUGCAUGGAAGCAAUCCGUAACUUGUAAUGCAAGCUGUAUCGUGCACCAUGGUUACGUUGUCAUGACGACGAGGUGUAUGUACGAGACGUCUUUCAUUCAAGAGAAGCCUUCCCAUCAUCUUCUCAGAACUCUCUCUUGCAGGAAAUUGUGUUCUAUGCUUCCCUACCUCAACUAAGGAUAAGCUCUCUGCUGUAUUACUUUUAAGUGUGGGCAGGAAAUUGUUUGGCUACUUCAGCAAGAAUUCACUUUCUUCAUUCUUAUAUCAAAAGCAGGAGGGUGAAAGGAGAUAUUCCAGUGACUUAUACAAGUGGAUCUCACAUUGUGCCCCCCAUCCCGCCUUCUUUCACUUUCAUCAAUAUCUUUAUUCUGUUUCCCUUCUCUUCUAUUUCUUUUGCUUUUAUUAUUUCAUAUUUCGAUUGAUUUGUUUGUUCUAUGAAGUUCUAUAGAAAAUGAAAUACAAUUUACACGUGGUGGCAGUAGUCUAGAUUUUACUUAUAUAACCUCUUUUUAUACCCUUACUUGUUGUGCCCUAAAUGUAUUAUAGUUCAUAAAACCAUGGACCUAGUAGGUCCAUGAUAAAACGAAGGGUGAUGUGACAUUUAUUUGAAAGAUAUUAGAUACCUUUUUUAUAUGAAUAUUUUUCUUUUACCUCCAAUAUGUAUGUUUACUGGUGUUACUUGUAUUAUAUAUUUGAUGAUUGCAAUGGAAUGAUAAAGAUGUGCCUUUUAAAAUGAUGUA